Anthonomus grandis grandis is the source of this 1053-nucleotide long non-coding RNA. RefSeq lists it as uncharacterized. The record is from RefSeq and is a predicted model, not a curated record. NCBI's taxonomy places the organism in Eukaryota, Metazoa, Arthropoda, Insecta, Coleoptera, Curculionidae. The transcript is spliced from 3 exons.
UUGAUGCCCAUUUUUGGCCUCAAAAACGGACGUCGAAAACGACUUUUUCAGGAUUUUCAAAGUGCUCUCAUUCCCUUAGUUCUGCUCGGAUCCUGUUAUAACCCGGUGUUUUCGUAAUCUAGGUGACCCAAAUAAGACGCUGGUGUACUUAGUUUGAUUUCGAAAAAAAUCAAUUUUUGGUGAAAAAAAUCGAUACGGGGGGGUAUACCCGAAAAAUGAAAAAACCCAAACUUUGAAGGUCGAUAUCUCGGCUUCUAUGGGAGCUAUCGGGAAAAUUCCAACGGUUUUCUCUUAGUUUCGUCGUUCUAAAUCCAACGAGACCAUCCGCAAGGUCGUAGCUUUUACGAUAGCCGAGAUAUGGCAUUUUUGAUGCCCAUUUUUGGCCUCAAAAACGGACGUCGAAAACGACUUUUUCAGGAUUUUCAAAGUGCUCUCAUUCCCUUAGUUCUGCUCGGAUCCUGUUAUAACCCGGUGUUUUCGUAAUCUAGGUGACCCAAAUAAGACGCUGGUAUACUUAGUUUGAUUUCGAAAAAAAUCAAUUUUUGGUGAAAAAAUUCGAUACGGGGGGGUAUACCCGAAAAAUGAAAAAACCCAAACUUUGAAGGUCGAUAUCUCGGCUUCUAUGGGAGCUAUCGGGAAAAUUCCAACGGUUUUGUCUUAGUUUCGUCGUUCUGAAUCCAACGAGACCAUCCGCAAGGUCGUAGCUUUUACGAUAGCCGAGAUAUGGCAUUUUUGAUGCCCAUUUUUGGCCUCAAAAACGGACGUCGAAAACGACUUUUUCAGGAUUUUCAAAGUGCUCUCAUUCCCUUAGUUCUGCUCGGAUCCUGUUAUAACCCGGUGUUUUCGUAAUCUAGGUGACCCAAAUAAGACGCUGGUAUACUUAGUUUGAUUUCGAAAAAAAAUCAAUUUUUGGUGAAAAAAUUCGAUACGGGGGGGUAUACCCGAAAAAUGAAAAAACCCAAACUUUGAAGGUCGAUAUCUCGGCUUCUAUGGGAGUUAUCAGUGAAAUUCCAACGGUUUUGUCUUAGUUUCGUCGUUCUGAAUCCAACGAGA